AGAGUUUGAUCCAGGCUCAGAUUGAACGCUGGCGGCAGGCCUAAUACAUGCAAGUCGAACGAGAAUCUUGUGCUUGCACAAGAGGAAAGUGGCGGACGGGUGAGUAAUGUGUAGAGAAUCUGCCCUGAAGCGGGGGACAACAGAGGGAAACUUCUGCUAAUACCCCAUAUGCGCGUAGUUGCAAUACUAUUCGUGAAAGAUUUAUCGCUUCAGGAUGAGUCUGCAUCUGAUUAGCUAGUUGGGGGUGUAAUGGACCACCAAGGCGACGAUCAGUAGCUGGUUUGAGAGGAUGAUCAACCACAAUGGGACUGAGACACGGCCCAUACUCC
RNAcentral lists this ribosomal RNA (329 nucleotides) under uncultured cyanobacterium. RNAcentral describes it as "bacterial SSU rRNA". It matches the Rfam family "Bacterial small subunit ribosomal RNA", at positions 8 to 339 of the family's 1533-position model. Lineage: Bacteria; Bacillati; Cyanobacteriota. The record is from RNAcentral.